RNAcentral lists this ribosomal RNA (537 nucleotides) under Chliaria othona. RNAcentral describes it as "partial 16S ribosomal RNA". The stretch from base 393 to 537 matches the Rfam family "Bacterial large subunit ribosomal RNA", at positions 2473 to 2618 of the family's 2925-position model. The record is from RNAcentral. Lineage: Eukaryota; Metazoa; Arthropoda; Insecta; Lepidoptera; Lycaenidae.
AACAUGUCUUUUUGGUAAUAAUUUAAAGUCUAAUCUGCCCACUGAUAAUUUAUUAAAGGGCUGCAGUAUUUUGACUGUACAAAGGUAGCAUAAUCAUUAGUCUUUUAAUUGAAGACUUGUAUGAAGGAUUUGAUGAAAUAUAAACUGUCUCUAAGUUAUAAUUAGAAUUUAAUUUUUUAGUUAAAAAGCUAAAAUAAGUUUAAAAGACGAGAAGACCCUAUAGAGUUUUAUAUACUUUAUUUUAAAAUAUUUAUAUAAAAUUUUAAUGUUAUAAAUUAAAGUAUAUUAUAUUGGGGUGAUAAAAAAAUUAAAUAAACUUUUUUUAUAUAUUAAACAAUAAUAAAUGAUUAAAUGAUCCAUUAAUAAUGAUUAUAAGAAAAAAUUACCUUAGGGAUAACAGCGUAAUAUUUUUUUUUAGUACAAAUAAAAAAAAAAGUUUGCGACCUCGAUGUUGGAUUAAGAUAAAAUUUAAAUGCAAAAGUUUAAAAUUUUGAUCUGUUCGAUCAUUAAAAUCUUACAUGAUCUGAGCUCAAACCG